GUAUUGAGUUUUAUUAACUAACUGUUCAAACAGUAGUUUAUUGAUAUUUUUUUAAUCAGAAAUAAAAAAGUACCUAAAACACAGCUUUUACAGCACAACCUGUUCAAAAAGAACACAUCUUGCAUAAAACCUGUAUUUUCUGCACUCGUAAAUAGGGAAAAAACAUUUAAUGAUCCUUCCGCAGGUUCACCUACGGAAA
RNAcentral lists this unclassified non-coding RNA (199 nucleotides) under uncultured fungus. RNAcentral describes it as "sequence contains ITS1". The record is from RNAcentral. Lineage: Eukaryota; Fungi.